Molecule: ribosomal RNA, 395 nt
Filed under: uncultured Acholeplasma sp.
Lineage: Bacteria; Bacillati; Mycoplasmatota; Mollicutes; Acholeplasmatales; Acholeplasmataceae
Description: bacterial SSU rRNA
Rfam family: Bacterial small subunit ribosomal RNA
Source: RNAcentral
GACACUCCCCCGCGAUGCUUUAGAGAUAAAGCGGAGGUAUUCGGGGAGACAGGUGGUGCAUGGUUGUCGUCAGCUCGUGUCGUGAGAUGUUGGGUUAAGUCCCGCAACGAGCGCAACCCCUAUUGCUAGUUACCAUCAUUAAGUUGGGGACUCUAGCGAGACUGCCAGUGAUAAACUGGAGGAAGGUGGGGAUGACGUCAAAUCAUCAUGCCCCUUAUGACCUGGGCUACAAACGUGAUACAAUGGCUGGAACAAAGGGAUGCGAAGCAGUGAUGUGGAGCGAAACCCAUAAAAACAGUCUCAGUUCGGAUUGAAGUCUGCAACUCGACUUCAUGAAGUCGGAAUCGCUAGUAAUCGCGGAUCAGAACGCCGCGGUGAAUACGUUCUCGGGGUUU